UACAGAGGGUGCGAGCGUUAAUCGGAAUUACUGGGCGUAAAGGGUACGUAGGCGGUCAUUUAAGUCGGAUGUGAAAGCCCUGGGCUCAACCUGGGAAUUGCAUUCGAUACUGGAUGGCUGGAGUCUGGCAGAGGCUGGCGGAAUUCCCGGUGUAGCGGUGAAAUGCGUAGAUAUCGGGAGGAACAUCAGUGGCGAAGGCGGCCGGGUGGGCCAAGACUGACGCCGAGGUACGAAAGCGUGGGGAGCAAACAGG
Molecule: unclassified non-coding RNA, 253 nt
Filed under: uncultured Gammaproteobacteria bacterium
Lineage: Bacteria; Pseudomonadati; Pseudomonadota; Gammaproteobacteria
Description: contains 16S-23S intergenic spacer region
Rfam family: Bacterial small subunit ribosomal RNA
Source: RNAcentral